AGCAGUAGCCGCGGGAAUACCGAGGGUGCGAGCGUUAAUCGGAUUUACUGGGCGUAAAGCGUGCGUAGGCGGCUUUUUAAGUCGGAUGUAAAAUCCCUGAGCUUAACUUAGGAAUUGCAUUCGAUACUGGGAAGCUAGAGUAUGGGAGAGGAUGGUAGAAUUCCAGGUGUAGCGGUGAAAUGCGUAGAGAUCUGGAGGAAUACCGAUGGCGAAGGCAGCCAUCUGGCCUAAUACUGACGCUGAGGUACGAAAGCAUGGGGAGCAAACAGGAUUAGAUACCCCAGUAGUCCCUGUCUCUUAUAU
This 303-nucleotide ribosomal RNA is filed under the name uncultured bacterium. RNAcentral's name for it is "partial 16S ribosomal RNA". It matches the Rfam family "Bacterial small subunit ribosomal RNA", at positions 507 to 809 of the family's 1533-position model. The record is from RNAcentral.